Molecule: ribosomal RNA, 1638 nt
Filed under: Triticum aestivum (bread wheat)
Lineage: Eukaryota; Viridiplantae; Streptophyta; Magnoliopsida; Poales; Poaceae
Description: partial small subunit ribosomal RNA
Source: RNAcentral
AUGGCGGAUCCGCCGUCCGUGGCCGCCAUCGCCUCGCCGCAGCCCGACCAGCUCGGCGGCUCAGCCUCCGCCCCGCAAAACUCCAACCCUAACUCCCUCCUGUCCCCCCAAAUCCCCCCCUCCCCCACCGUCUCCGACCUCUCCGUCAUCUCCUCCCCGCAGCUCGAUCCAGCCGCGGCAGCUGCGGGAGGAGGGUCCGCGGACUUCCCGCCUCGUCCGCAGCAGUUGCAGGCGCCUUCGCCCACGCAGGCAGUGGCCGGCGCCGGAGGCUACGGCCAGAUCCAGCGCUCGGGUUCGGCUUCCCGCCUCGCCGCUGCCAGCCAGCUUCCACAAUACUCCGCGGCAACGGCUAGGAUGUACGGAGGGCAGAUGAGCUUCUCAGGUGGCGGAGCGCAGCUGGGGCAGCAGCAGCAGCAGCAGCUAGCGGCCCGCGCGGCAAUGCUUGGUCAGGGGCAGCUCGGGAUGAUGCAAGGGCAGGGCAGCGCGGCUUCUGCUGCACACUACGGGCUCCAGUCACAGAUGAUGGCACAGCCAAGGCAAAAAGGCAUGGUACAAGGUGCACAAUUUAAUACUGCCAACGCAGCUCAAGCGUUGCAAGGGAUGCAAUCCAUGGGAGUCAUGGGUACUUUGGGGAUGAACCAGAUGAGACCAAAUGGAACUAUUCCAUAUGCUCAACAACGCUUUGCCCAGGCCCAAAUGAGGCCGCAGCAAGCGUCGCAGCAAGCUGCACUAUCUCCGCAGAAGGGGGUUGCUCAAGGCUUGUCGAGAACAGCAUCGAUCACAGGAUUAAACUCACAACUGCCUGGAGUGUCACAAAAUGGGCAGAUGAUGCAAAUGUCACCUUCGCAACAACAGCAGCAGUGGUUGAAGCAAAUGCAAUCAUCUUUGGCCUCGCCAUCUCAACAUCAAAUUCAGCAGCAGCACAGGAUGCUAUUGAUGCAACAACUUCAGAAAACAGGACUGACUCCACACCAGAUUGCACAAGCCCAACAACAGCAUCCACCACAUCUCAAUGCCCAGCAGUUGAUGCAACAGCAGCACAUUAUGCAGCAGCUUCAGCAGCAGCAACAGCAACAAUCUCCAAGGAUGUCAGCAUCUGGCUCCCAGAAGUCUGCAAACUUGACAGGAUCACAGCCGGGCACGCCUUUGUCAGGGGGGACUAUGGCUGGUGGAAGUGGAAGUCAAGGAGCAGAAGGAACUAACCAACUUCUUGGGAAGAGAAAAAUACAAGACUUGGUUGCACAGGUGGAUCCCCUCGGCAAACUUGAUCCAGAAGUGGAAGAUUUGGUUUUAGAGAUUGCUGAUGACUUCAUUGAAUCGGUGACUGCAUUUGCGUGUACCCUGGCAAAGCACAGGAAGUCAUCCGUUCUGGAAGCCAAGGAUGUGUUGCUGCACUUACAGAGAAAUUGGCAUCUGACAGUUCCUGGUUUUUCCAAGGAAGACAAGAAUCCACAGAGAAAUUAUGUAAAGGCAGUAGUGGAUCCCCAACAGCCAGAGUGUGACGCUGCUGGAGUUAGAAGCGCAAGCAAUAAAUUAGUUGCUAAUAAUUCAAUUGCCAACCAUCAGACAAGAGGUCCGGUUGCAGAUCCUUCACCAACAUCUACAGUGGGUCCUCUGUCAAAAGUUCCCCGUUUCUGA